CCUACGGGUGGCUGCAGUGGGGAAUAUUGGACAAUGGGGGCAACCCUGAUCCAGCCAUGCCGCGUGUGUGAAGAAGGCCCUCGGGUUGUAAAGCACUUUCAGUGAGGAAGAACGCCUGGUGGUUAAUACCCAUCAGGAAAGACAUCACUCACAGAUGAAGCACCGGCUAACUCCGUGCCAGCAGCCGCGGUAAUACGGAGGGUGCGAGCGUUAAUCGGAAUUACUGGGCGUAAAGCGCGCGUAGGUGGCUUGAUAAGCCGGUUGUGAAAGCCCCGGGCUCAACCUGGGAACGGCAUCCGGAACUGUCAAGCUAGAGUGCAGGAGAGGAAGGUAGAAUUCCCGGUGUAGCGGUGAAAUGCGUAGAGAUCGGGAGGAAUACCAGUGGCGAAGGCGGCCUUCUGGACUGACACUGACACUGAGGUGCGAAAGCGUUGGUAGCAAACAGGAUUAGAUACCCGGGUAGUC
Molecule: ribosomal RNA, 465 nt
Filed under: Vreelandella stevensii
Lineage: Bacteria; Pseudomonadati; Pseudomonadota; Gammaproteobacteria; Oceanospirillales; Halomonadaceae
Description: partial 16S ribosomal RNA
Rfam family: Bacterial small subunit ribosomal RNA
Source: RNAcentral